Molecule: non-coding RNA, 895 nt
Filed under: Sebastapistes fowleri (pigmy scorpionfish)
Lineage: Eukaryota; Metazoa; Chordata; Actinopteri; Perciformes; Scorpaenidae
Description: partial 12S rRNA
Rfam family: Bacterial small subunit ribosomal RNA
Source: RNAcentral
ACUCCCGUGAGAAUGCCCAUAGCCCCGUCUACUCGGGGCAAGGAGCUGGUAUCAGGCACACAUAGUUAGCCCACGACGCCUUGCUUAGCCACACCCCCAAGGGAAUUCAGCAGUGGUAGACAUUAAGCUAUGAGUGAAAACUUGACUUAGUUAGUGUUUAUUAAGGGCCGGUAAAUCUCGUGCCAGCCACCGCGGUUAUACGUGAGACCCAAGUUGACAGUUCUCGGCGUAAAGAGUGGUUAAGGAAUACCAUAAAAUAAAGUAGCACUCCAUCCACACUGUUAUACGUCUUUGAUGGACAGAAAAUCGCCCACGAAAGUGACUUUAUACAUACCUGAAUCCACGAAAGCUAUGGCACAAACUGGGAUUAGAUACCCCACUAUGCAUAGCCCUAAACACCGGCAGACACCCGCAUUUACUCAACUGCCCGCCUGGAUAUUACGAGCACUAGCUUAAAAUCCAAAGGACUUGGCGGUGCUUCAGAACCCCCUAGAGGAGCCUGUUCUAGAACCGAUUAUCCCCGUUCAACCUCACCUUUUCUUGCUCAAACCCGCCUAUAUACCUCCGUCGUCAGCUGACCUCAUGAGGGAUCCACAGUCAGCACAACUGGCACAGCCAAGUACGUCAGGUCGAGGUGUAGCUUAUGGAAAGGGAAGAAAUGGGCUACAUUCUCUACAAUAGAGCAUACGAACGAAAUGCUGAAAUAACAUUUCUGAAGGAGGAUUUAGCAGUAAGUAAGGAGUAGAGUGCCCUACUGAAGCCGGCUCUGAAGCGCGUACACACCGCCCGUCACUCUCCCCGAUAAAUAACAUCAACUACUUAAAAACUGAAAACAACAGAGGGGAGGCAAGUCGUAACAUGGUAAGAGUACCGGAAGGUGCCCUUGGCAAACACA